UACGUAGGGAGCAAGCGUUGUCCGGAAUCAUUGGGCGUAAAGCGCGCGUAGGCGGCCCUGUAAGUCCGUGGUGAAAGUCAAAGGCUCAACCUUUGAAAGCCGAUGGAUACUGCAGGGCUAGAGUCCGGAAGAGGCGAGUGGAAUUCCUGGUGUAGCGGUGGAAUGCGCAGAUAUCAGGAGGAACACCAAUAGCGAAGGCAGCUCGCUGGGACGGUACUGACGCUAAGGCGCGAAAGCGUGGGGAGCGAACAGG
RNAcentral lists this ribosomal RNA (253 nucleotides) under uncultured bacterium. RNAcentral's name for it is "partial 16S ribosomal RNA". It matches the Rfam family "Bacterial small subunit ribosomal RNA", at positions 524 to 776 of the family's 1533-position model. The record is from RNAcentral.